Molecule: ribosomal RNA, 253 nt
Filed under: uncultured bacterium
Lineage: Bacteria
Description: partial 16S ribosomal RNA
Rfam family: Bacterial small subunit ribosomal RNA
Source: RNAcentral
UACGUAGGCAGCAAGCGUUGUUCGGAGUUACUGGGCGUAAAGAGUGUGUAGGCGGUCCUGUAAGUUUGGUGUGAAAUCCCCCGGCUCAACUGGGAGGGUGCGCCGAAGACUGCAGGGCUUGAGUAUGGGAGAGGUAAGUGGAAUUCCUGGUGUAGCGGUGAAAUGCGUAGAUAUCAGGAGGAACACCUGUGGUGUAGACAGCUUACUGGACCAUAACUGACGCUGAGGCACGAAAGCGUGGGUAGCAAACAGG